UUCUCACAUCCGAGGAAUUCCAAAUAUUUGCACUGCGUUUUUAGAUUCAUUGAAGAAUGGAGUUUAACCAUAGAAUAUGGAAUUUAUAAUUUGGAUUUUUUUUUUAAAGAAUAUAGUGGGAACUAAACAUCCAAAAAUAUGAGCUACUUUUCUUUCCCUCAAAGGAGGUACAGGGUGAAUGUGGAGUGGCAGGGAGUGAACCUACAACCUUCUCUUGCAGUUGGAAGUGGAUUAGAAUCUGGAAUAACGUGCUCCCUCUUCCUAGUGUACUGGAAAGACCCACAGCGCCAGAAGACUCGUCAUUUGCUAAUUGUACGUCACGGUGAUGGAUUUAGAGAGAAUGGACCCUCUGACCCCAAGAAUAACUUGCAUAUGGAAAGGACUGUGUUUAUCUGUGUCUCCAUGAGACUAAAUGAGCCUGAAGGAGAAAUCAUGCUCGGACCUAGGAGAUACAGCGCAAGUUCAAGUUGACAGUUCAUGUGUUGGUGUUGAUUUGUAAAAAUGGAGCAGACUCGUUCCCUCUGACACUUUGCUAAUGUACUUUUGAGGACACACGUAAAUUUGUAGAGUGCUUAGAGCUGUUCAGAGGUGAGACAGGCCCUGCGUCACGGCUCUGUGCUGAGGCCUCCUGAAGACCGGAUUUGGAACAGCUGUCCUUCCUGUUUGUUGUGACGCCAACUGCCCGCUUGCUCUUCUGUAAUUCUUUCUCUGUGCAGAUAGCAUGGAAAGCAGACUGGAAGGAUGAACAGAGAUAAAUUCAGGAUUUGUACCUAUGAGAUGCCAGAGAAGCAGUAGAGUGUGGUCAGUAAAGGCAUAGACAUAGGUCCAGUGCACUCUGUUUAAACUCCGGCUCUGACACUUACUAACUGUGUGACUUCAGAGAGUUACUUAACCUCUCUGUUCUUCAGUUUGCUCAUCUGUAACAUGAGGUAAAUGACACCAUUGACCUUAUGGGGUUGUCGUAAUGAUUACCUAAGCUUAAAUCCAGGUGGAGGGGACGGCGCUGUGACACAGUUGGUAAAGCCACCGCCUGCAGUGCCAGCAUCCCAUAUGGGCAAUGGUUCCAGUCCUGGCUGUUCCACUUCCAACCCACCUCUCUGCUACGGCCUGGGAAAGCUGUAGAAGAUGGCCCAAGUCCUUGGGCCCUGCACCCUCAUGGGUGACCUGAAUGAAAGCUCCUGGCUGCUGGCUUUAGAUCAGAGCAGCUCCGGCCUUUGCAGCCAUCUGGGGAAUGAACCAGCAGAUGGAAAACCUCUCUCUCUCUG
This 1265-nucleotide long non-coding RNA is filed under the name Oryctolagus cuniculus (rabbit). Its description in RNAcentral is "lncRNA (ENSOCUG00000033496.1)". The record is from RNAcentral. Lineage: Eukaryota; Metazoa; Chordata; Mammalia; Lagomorpha; Leporidae.